UUACUCUGCUUUUUCUUCAGACUGUAUAAAUCUUUCACUUUUACUAAAAGAUUUCUGUGGAGAGGAAAAUUUUUAAUUUUUGACUAGAUUUUUGAGGUUAUGGUCCCCGCCCUCUGGAAU
RNAcentral lists this small nuclear RNA (120 nucleotides) under Naja naja (Indian cobra). RNAcentral's name for it is "U5 spliceosomal RNA (ENSNNAG00000013246.1)". It matches the Rfam family "U5 spliceosomal RNA". Rfam says of the family: U5 RNA is a component of both types of known spliceosome. The precise function of this molecule is unknown, though it is known that the 5' loop is required for splice site selection and p220 binding, and that both the 3' stem-loop and the Sm site are important for Sm protein binding and cap methylation. Lineage: Eukaryota; Metazoa; Chordata; Lepidosauria; Squamata; Elapidae. The record is from Rfam by way of RNAcentral.